This 501-nucleotide ribosomal RNA is filed under the name uncultured bacterium. RNAcentral describes it as "bacterial SSU rRNA". It matches the Rfam family "Bacterial small subunit ribosomal RNA", at positions 29 to 529 of the family's 1533-position model. The record is from RNAcentral.
AUUGAACGCUGGCGGCAUGCUUUACACAUGCAAGUCGAACGGCAGCACGGGGGCAACCCUGGCGGCGAGCGGCGAACGGGUGAGUAACAUAUCGGAACGUACCCAGUCGUGGGGGAUAACUAUCCGAAAGGAUAGCUAAUACCGCAUACGUCCUGAGGGAGAAAGCGGGGGAUCGCAAGACCUCGCGCGAUUGGAGCGGCCGAUAUCGGAUUAGCUAGUUGGUGGGGUAAAGGCUCACCAAGGCGACGAUCCGUAGCGGGUCUGAGAGGACGACCCGCCACACUGGAACUGAGACACGGUCCAGACUCCUACGGGAGGCAGCAGUGAGGAAUAUUGCGCAAUGGAGGCAACUCUGACGCAGCCAUGCCGCGUGCAGGAAGAAGGCGCUACGCGUUGUAAACUGCUUUUAACCGGGAAGAAACCCCAGGACGUGUCCUGGGUUGACGGUACCGGAGGAAUAAGCACCGGCUAACUUCGUGCCAGCAGCCGCGGUAAAGUGUG